RNAcentral lists this ribosomal RNA (496 nucleotides) under uncultured bacterium. Its description in RNAcentral is "partial 16S ribosomal RNA". It matches the Rfam family "Bacterial small subunit ribosomal RNA", at positions 29 to 507 of the family's 1533-position model. The record is from RNAcentral.
GUGAACGCUGGCGGCGUGCCUAAUACCUGCAAGUCGCGCGAACAGACGAGGAGCUUGCUCCUCUGACGUUAGCGGCGGACGGGUGAGUAACACGUGGAUAACCUACCUAUAAGACUGGGAUAACUUCGGGAAACCGGAGCUAAUACCGGAUAAUAUAUUGAACCGCAUGGUUCAAUAGUGAAAGACGGUUUUGCUGUCACUUAUAGAUGGAUCCGCGCCGCAUUAGCUAGUUGGUAAGGUAACGGCUUACCAAGGCAACGAUGCGUAGCCGACCUGAGAGGGUGAUCGGCCACACUGGAACUGAGACACGGUCCAGACUCCUACGGGAGGCAGCAGUAGGGAAUCUUCCGCAAUGGGCGAAAGCCUGACGGAGCAACGCCGCGUGAGUGAUGAAGGUCUUCGGAUCGUAAAACUCUGUUAUUAGGGAAGAACAAAUGUGUAAGUAACUAUGCACGUCUUGACGGUACCUAAUCAGAAAGCCACGGCUAACUACGUG